GUUUGUUGUGAUUCAGUGUUUGACAGUUUUAAAAAUGGUUUAAAAAUUUAAAGUUUUAAUCGUGUGCCGAAUUAAAAUUUGCCAUAACUUUCCAAUGGUGAGAUGUCUUCCGGGAAAUGGAGUAAAUGAAUUUGACAUAACCUCAACAAAAAGUUUUAUAUUUAAGUGGGUGAAGAAAUUUAUCACUUAACUAUCUCCUCGUCCUCUGCACAUAGUUGGCGUUCCACAUUGUCAGCUAGGCUCAACAAUUUGAGGUGUGUCUUUAAUCGGUAAUGCCCAGUAAAGACAACUAUGCUUUAAUGCUGCUAUGAGCAAGUCCUAAAAUAUUCCCGAGAUUGACAUAAACAACUUGGCAUGUUUCAUUCCAGGAGAACUAGUUCACAAUAGGCAAAGUCUCUCUUUAGCCCACAGUCCAAUCCUAUGUUUGGCCAUCACAAAUGAUAGUUCUGGCCCCACAACCGCUUUAGCGCUGCUUUCUCAUGCUACCUGAUCUAUCACUUCAUUGCCAGGAAACUCAGAGUGACCCCAGAAUGCUCAUGCUGCCAACUUGUGAUGUUUCAAGACAAGACAGCUCAUUCUGCCACCAAUUUGGCAGCUUAUAAGGCGUAGAAUUGAUGUUUCAAGAUAAAACAGCUCAUGCUACCAACAAAUAAGCAGAGUUUAGAAAGCUGAAUGGCAGUCUAGAUGUAGAAAAGCUCAUGAUGCCAACAAGUUGGCAGCUUAUAAGAUGCUGAAUUGAUGUCUCAAGAUAAGACAGCUCAUGCUGCCAACAAGUUGGUAGACUUUAGAAGACAAAAUGAAAGUCUAGAUGUAGAAAAGCUCAUGCUACCAACAAUUUAGCAGCUUAUAAGCUGUAGAAUUGAUGUUUCAAGAUAAGACAGCUCAUGCUGCCAAUAAGUUGGCAGCUUAUAAGAUGCUGAAUUGAUGUCUCAAAAUAAGACAGCUCAUGCUGCCAACAAGUUGGCAAACUUUAAAACACAGAAUGGAAGUCUAGAUGUAGAAAAGCUCAUGCUGUCAACAAGUUGGCAGACCUUAGAAAACAGAAUGGAAGUCUAGAUGUAGAAAAGCUCAAGUUGGCAGCUUAUAAGAUGCUGAAUUGAUGUCUCAAGAUAAGACAGCUCAUGCUGCCAACAAGUUGGCUGACUUUAGAAAACAGAAUGGAAGUCUAGAUGUAGAAAAGCUCAUGCUGCCAACAAGUUGGCAGACUUUAGAAAACAGCAUGGAAGUCUAGAUGUAGAAAAGCUCAUGCUGCCAACAAGUUGGCAAGUAAUGCUUUGGCUGCGUGCUAUUAAUAUUAUUUUUAAUUUCGUCAGCUUUUCGAACUAUAUUAUAGGUUAGGUGGUAGAGCUGUCUCCCGACUGAACCUCGCCUAUUAAGUAAAUUAUGUUAAUUCAAGUGUAUUGUUGUUGUACGCAAAAUAAAGGCCUUUAUUAUUA
Onthophagus taurus is the source of this 1436-nucleotide non-coding RNA. The record is from RefSeq and is a predicted model, not a curated record. NCBI's taxonomy places the organism in Eukaryota, Metazoa, Arthropoda, Insecta, Coleoptera, Scarabaeidae.